UUUACAUCUGGUUUCAAUUGUACUUGAUGUGAAAAAUACAUAGACAAAACUUAUUACAUCUGAUCAAAAUAUCCCCAGAUGAAAAGCUAAACGCGGUGGCAAUACUGUAAUUAUGGUGAAAAUUGUCUAAAAUAUGUUUACAUCUGGCCCAUUAUAUGCUUUGAUGUAAAACGUCUUAAAUGUAAUUUUUUAUUUUAUUUGAACGGAAAUUAAUAUAAACUUCACACAAAAAAAAAAAACUAGAACUCGUUCUCUCUCUCACACUCUCUCGAACCCUAGAUUUCCCUCAAAACAAAACCCAGAUCCUCUUCCCUGCCAUAAUUUUUCUUCGCCCUAGCUCUUCUUCGCCUUUGUUCGUCUUCGUCGUAGCUUCUGCCACCGCAGUUCCUUUUGUCGCCGCCAUAUCUCUUCCUCAACGAAGGGCAGCAAUACUCUAUUUUCACUUCUCAUAAACCCAUAGUGCUAUCUCAAAGUUUUUUAUGCUAAGGAAGUGUCAACUUGGUAGGAAGUGUCAACUUUGUCUUGCUGGAUUUCUUCACAUAAUUGAGGCUCUUGCAGAAUCUAUGAGACUUCUCAAACUCUUGCGAUUCUCCAUCAAUUCUUCACGGAGCAUUUGUGACGAUCUUCAAAAACUCUCGUGAUUCUUCGAUGGGAAGACAUAACUCUUGGUGUCCUUCCUUUCCAAUCGAAUUCACUCAUUAACAAUUAUAUAAUAUAUUACUAGAUUGUUAUAGAAUAUUAUAAAUGAGUCAGUUUUGUUUUAUAUUUUUUCUCAUUAUUGAGCCUAAUUAUGAUUAAGUUUGUUUCUCAUCCUUCCCCUUUUUCAAUAUUGAAUAAUUGUUUUUCCUGUUUAGUUAAAUAUUGGUUAUAUUGCCUCAUGCUACGCUUGAAAAUAUAAAAGUUUUCGGGGCGCAGCGCCAAGGCACGGGCAAUAUUUAUUGCGUUUAUGGGACUUUCCAACACCACUUGCUCAAAUCUACCCCUAAAUUAAUAUUGUGUAGGAGGCUUAAAAAAUGCAGCCUCAGCAACCUGGGUAUAACAGUUCGCGAGUUUACCUUGAUCUUCUUGCCGAUCUGCCCUGGCAGAAGGCCAGCGACGAGAUUGAAAUGGACUUAAGAGCUGCAUAAAAGCGACUGGACAGUGAUCACUAUGGUUUAGUGAAGGUCAAACAAAGAAUUAUUGAAUACCUAGCAGUUCGCAAGCUUAAACCAGAUGCAAGGGGUCCAGUGCUGUGCUUUGUUGGGCCACCAGGUGUCGGGAAAACAUCAUUGGCAUCUUCUAUUGCUGCUGCUUUGGGAAGAAAGUUUAUCCGCAUAUCCCCUGGUGGAGUCAAGGAUGAGGCCGAUAUUAGAGGACAUAGAAGAACAUAUGUUGGAAGCAUGCCUGGACGGCUUAUAGAUGGAUUAAAGAGGAUUAUGGUUUCUGCAAAGGUGUAGGGAGGGACAACAAUUACUAUAAGAUAAUUGCAAAUAGAAUUUCAUGCAUGUCCAUUAUAUACUUGGGUUAGUUCAAUUGAGGCUGCUCAACAAUAAAUAUCAUAAUUUCCAGGAAGUUUGGAUUACCGUGUUACGGAGGAAAUUUUGAUGGAUCGCGUAGCUACCAAUAUGCAUGAAGCAUGCCUGCAGAUUGACAAAGAAUGCAGGUUAGUGUAAAAGUUGUUUGGUCUCUCCUGCUGCAGCCUUUUGUUUCUAGUUCCAUUUCUUUAUUCAUCAAGUUAUUGAACAUGAGUGUGGAUGUUAGAGUUUCACAAAAGUAUUUGUAAAACUGAAGCAAUCAAAAUCAUGAUACCUCUCUUUUAUUCAUCAGGUUCUUUAGGAAGUGUAUUGUGAUUUUGUUAGUUUUAUAUGUGUAAUUACUUAUUGAUUAAUCAAAAGCAUGAUAUUCAUCGGGUUUGUGAUUUUGUAAAACUAAAAAUAUUUGCAGUAUCAUGUUCUUGAUUUUUAAUUUAGGAUUGGAUGUAUCAGUUCUUGAUUAUUGUAUGUUGUGAAGUUAUGUUUUGGAUGCUGGCCUGUGGGUUGGAUUUUAAAAAACAAAAAUGCAAGAUUUUUAAUUUUUUUUUUAUAAAAAAGUGACGAUUUUACAUCUGUGGAAAGCUUGGCCAUACGAAACAGAGGUAAAAAGUGUUGAUUUUACAUCUGGCGUAAGUCAGAUGUAAAACGCGUAAACUUACUACUUCUCGUGCGUCUACAUCUGACAGGCUUCAGAUGUAAAAUGGGUUUUUGGCCAGAUGUAAAAAGUGUUUUCUGU
Trifolium pratense (red clover) is the source of this 2247-nucleotide long non-coding RNA. RefSeq lists it as uncharacterized. Lineage: Eukaryota; Viridiplantae; Streptophyta; Magnoliopsida; Fabales; Fabaceae. The transcript has 7 exons. The record is from RefSeq and is a predicted model, not a curated record.